RNAcentral lists this ribosomal RNA (275 nucleotides) under uncultured bacterium. RNAcentral describes it as "partial 16S ribosomal RNA". It matches the Rfam family "Bacterial small subunit ribosomal RNA", at positions 338 to 610 of the family's 1533-position model. The record is from RNAcentral.
CCUACGGGUGGCUGCAGUAAGGAAUAUUGGACAAUGCCCGCAAGGGUGAUCCAGCCAUGCCGCGUGCAGGAAGACGGCCCUAUGGGUUGUAAACUGCUUUUAUACCGGAGAAAACCUCUCCUCGUGAGGAGAGCUGAUAGUAUGGUAAGAAUAAGCAUCGGCUAACUUCGUGCCAGCAGCCGCGGUAAGACGAAGGAUGCAAGCGUUAUCCGGAUUCAUUGGGUUUAAAGGGAGCGUAGGCGGCCUUGUAAGUCAGUGGUGAAAUCUUUGGGCUU